Molecule: ribosomal RNA, 114 nt
Filed under: Acinetobacter sp. LCT-H3
Lineage: Bacteria; Pseudomonadati; Pseudomonadota; Gammaproteobacteria; Moraxellales; Moraxellaceae
Description: partial 16S ribosomal RNA
Rfam family: Bacterial small subunit ribosomal RNA
Source: RNAcentral
UUAAACUGAAGAGUUUGAUCAUGGCUCAGAUUGAACGCUGGCGGCAGGCUUAACACAUGCAAGUCGAGCGGGGAGAUGUAGCUUGCUACAUAUCCUAGCGGCGGACGGGUGAGU